This 253-nucleotide ribosomal RNA is filed under the name uncultured bacterium. Its description in RNAcentral is "partial 16S ribosomal RNA". It matches the Rfam family "Bacterial small subunit ribosomal RNA", at positions 524 to 776 of the family's 1533-position model. The record is from RNAcentral.
UACGUAGGGACCAAGCGUUGUUCGGAUUUACUGGGCGUAAAGCGCACGUAGGCGGCUAUUCAAGUCGGGGGUGAAAGCCCGGGGCUCAACCCCGGAACAGCCCUCGAAACUAGAUAGCUAGAAUCUUGGAGAGGCGAGUGGAAUUCCGAGUGUAGAGGUGAAAUUCGUAGAUAUUCGGAAGAACACCAGUGGCGAAGGCGACUCGCUGGACAAGUAUUGACGCUGAGGUGCGAAAGCGUGGGGAGCAAACAGG